RNAcentral lists this ribosomal RNA (461 nucleotides) under uncultured bacterium. RNAcentral describes it as "partial 16S ribosomal RNA". It matches the Rfam family "Bacterial small subunit ribosomal RNA", at positions 338 to 795 of the family's 1533-position model. The record is from RNAcentral.
CCUACGGGAGGCAGCAGUGAGGAAUAUUGGUCAAUGGCCGGAAGUCUGAACCAGCCAAGCCGCGUGAAGGACGAAGGUGCCAAGCAUUGUAAACUUCUUUUGUGCGGGAGUAAUAAUUGUCACGUGUGGCAAGACGAGAGUACCGUACGAAUAAGCAUCGGCUAACUCCGUGCCAGCAGCCGCGGUAAUACGGGGGAUUCAAGCGUUAUCCGGAUUUAUUGGGUUUAAAGGGUGCGUAGGGUGGAAGGUAAGUCAGUGGUGAAAAGCACCCGCUCAACGGGGAGAAGUGCCAUUGAUACUGGCAGUCUGGAAUGCGGUAGCCGUGGGAGGAAUGUGUGGUGUAGCGGUGAAAUGCAUAGAUAUCACACAGAACACCGAUUGCGAAGGCAGUUCACGAAUCCGCGAUUGACGCUGAUGCACGAAAGUGUGGGUAUCAAACAGGAUUAGAUACCCCAGUAGUC